GACGAACGCUGGCGGCGUGCUUAACACAUGCAAGUCGAGCGGUAAGGCCCUUUCGGGGGUACACGAGCGGCGAACGGGUGAGUAACACGUGGGUGACCUGCCCUCAGCUCUGGGAUAAGCCUGGGAAACCGGGUCUAAUACUGGAUAUGACUCCAUGACGCAUGUUGUGGGGUGGAAAGCCUUGUGCGGCUGAGGAUGGGCCCGCGGCCUAUCAGCUUGUUGGUGGGGNGAUGGCCUACCAAGGCGACGACGGGUAGCCGGCCUGAGAGGGCGACCGGCCACACUGGGACUGAGACACGGCCCAGACUCCUACGGGAGGCAGCAGUGGGGAAUCUUGCGCAAUGGGCGAAAGCCUGACGCAGCGACGCCGCGUGAGGGAUGACGGCCUC
Molecule: ribosomal RNA, 389 nt
Filed under: uncultured bacterium
Lineage: Bacteria
Description: bacterial SSU rRNA
Rfam family: Bacterial small subunit ribosomal RNA
Source: RNAcentral